GCUUCACUUCCUCUGCAGUUUCCUGGAGCUGCCUUGCUCCGCCUCAGGGAAUUUGCUGGGAGAGGCUCUCCAGCAUCCAGAUCCCCCUGCAAAGGUGUUUCGCGAUCUGCAGGAACAGGCCCCAGGAGCAUCCCUUGGGGCCGAAUGUGCAGUGGGCGAUGCCCCUCCUGACCCAACAGAUCCAAGACGAGCAUGAUCAAUACAGUCUUGUGGCCAGCCUUGACAAUGUUAGGAAUCUCUCCACUAUCUUAAAAGCUAUUCAUUUCCGAAAAUGUGCUGUGUGUUUCGCAACUAAAAAUGGAAUCAAAGUAACAAUGGAAAAUGCAAAGUGUGUGCAAGCAAAUGCUUUUAUUCAGGCUGGAAUAUUUCAAGAGCUUAAAGUUCAGGAAGAGUCUGUUACUUUUUGAAUUAAUUUCAUUGUCCUUUUAGACUGUUUAUCUAUUUUUGGAUCAAGUCCUAUGCCAGGGACUUGAACUGCACUUCGGAUGUGUUACCAAGGUUAUGGUUACCCUUUGAUGCUGUUCCUGGAAGAAGAAGGAGUGGUGGCAGUCUGCAAAAUCAAUACACAGGAACCUGAAGGGACCUGGACUUUAAUUUCUACAGCACUAAUGUUAUUGAUAAAAUUCUGCAGUCAGAAGGGCUCUGUGAAGCUUUUUCUGAAUUGGAUAUGACGAGUGAGGUCCUACAAAUUACCAUGUCUCCUGACAAGCCUUAUUUCAGGUUAUCUACUUUUGGAAAUGUAGGAAGUUCCCACCUUGACCGCCCCAAAGAUUCUGAUUUGAUGGAAGCAUUAUAAUCAGACCCAGGUCAACAGAUGCAAGAUUUCCUUACUGAAACCCUCUACAAAGGCAUUAGUCCUGUCUUGUCACGUAUCUACUCGGACAGAUAACCGAGGCUUCCUUUCAUUACAGUAUAUGAUUAGAAAUGAAGAUGGACCAAUAUAUUUUGUGGAAUAUUACUGCUGCCCUGAUGAAGAAGUUCUUUAAUCUGAGUCUUGAGUAUGACGAUUCACUGAUAUUUAUGUGUACAUUGAUGAUAGAUGAAGUUCUCAUUCUGAGUACGUACUCUUUAUAAUUUCAUAUUGUAUUUCCUAUAGAGAAGAAGCAUGGGGAAGAUAGAAACAAGGUCUGUGUACCCUAAUAGUUGCUAUGUGUUUUGUAAAUACAUUUUGUAAAGGGCAUGUAAAUAAAUGUUUUCAUGUAGUCAUAAAUUAUUCAGGACUGUCCUGUAGUUCUGUCUUUUGAACUCAUG
RNAcentral lists this long non-coding RNA (1251 nucleotides) under Homo sapiens (human). Its description in RNAcentral is "long non-coding RNA NONHSAT156218.1". The record is from RNAcentral. Lineage: Eukaryota; Metazoa; Chordata; Mammalia; Primates; Hominidae.